UCUUUCCGAUUUUAUGUGUUAUUUCAUUUGUUCAUGCUCAAAACUAGAAUAAAUCGAUGUUGAAUGUAAAACCACCUUUGGUGAUCUUGGUCACACUGUUUCACUAGAUGUAAUGGUUUUCAAAAACAAGACCGAGUCGGCGUCUGAAACGUUCACCAAAAUAUGCAGAAAUGCUGACAUUAUAAGGUGUCAAAGUAUCAAAGCUCAUCUAAUGGGGGAACAUUGUCAAUUUUGCUUCCAAAUCCGAAAGUUGGCAUUUUGGGUACCAAUCAACUCCGAACAAAAAACAUUGAUGCUCGGUAAACAUGGUGGUGAUGGGUUCGCAAAAGUUCUUAAUCAAAAUGAAAAUUUUAUUUUCUUCCCAAGUAUGCAUGUUUUAUUGCAGUUUCGGUGCUAUAAGUUAUAUAUUUUUGGUCUAUAAUGUAUCAGCCUCCUUGCUGUUUGAGGUCACACUGUAACAGUCAGUGGCAUAUUACUAAAAAAUGAGACCGAGUCGGCAUCUAUUGAGGGUACUAUAUGAAACAGAAUUUAAUUUUCUAUCUGAUGUUAUAAGUUUCAAAACAUGACUAAUGGGGGAACAUUACGAAAUUCGAUGUUAAAAGCUGCUGACCACGAUUAUACACCCACAGCUGCUCACGGUUUCGUGUACUGCAAAUGCUGCUAAUAUAGUUCUGACGCUAGCAGACGCACGUUUUUGCAUUCAAUUGGCUGCCACGGCGUUCCAUGUGAUGAUAGAGAACAUCCCUGGUUUUCGACUUUUGUGUGUUGUGUAUAUUUGUUUAUUAGGCACAUUUCAAUUCAAAUUUGAAUUUGCUUCUCUCACUUCGGUGGGUCUUGGAGUUGUGGAUAUAUUUUGUGGAGCGCGGAGCAUCGGGGAUUUUUGUGGAGUAUUGGAUUGACGUUUUCUUGGUGUUUUUUUUUAAGAUAUUUUCAGAGGCUACAAUGCCACCAGGAAGACCAAGACAAGACAGUGCUCAUGCCCGAAUCAUCGGCAACACAGGAUGGCAAACUUCGCCUCCCCUGGCUUGUAUGAAGCCUUGAUUUCCAUUUAAGGAAGUAAGUCUGUGCCCAAAUGGAUGAUGCACGUGUUGGGCAUUUUUGCAAAACAAAGCAGUUGAAAGGGUUCAUUUGCCGAGGCUGUAUGGAGUACGCCAAGCAAUGUCAUGCUGAUGGGGAGACGUGAGUAUGACAAUGAAACAUACUACAAUUCUUGGCAAAAGGGCUAGCAAAAUGCAUCAUUGAGUUUGACAAUUCUGUACCAGUCAUUGUCAAGCUGGAAAUCUGGGUAACGGUAAUUGGUAAAGCUGGGGUCACCGUCAGCAUAUCAAUAUAGGUAUCAGUCGGGCAAACUGCAGGGAGGUAAUCUAAAAUAAGAUUUAUCUAAUUUAAGAAUAUGAUGUCACCCAAAUGUGCUGAGUGAUGACCAUAUAAGGAAUGAUGAUCAAUAUUUAGACUAUAUUCCCGACAUGUCCACAUUUGAACCCUCCACAACCAUCGAAGAACUGCUCAUAACCACAAUAUUUGUUUUGCUGACUGACAGGCAAACCAUGAUUUAACAAAUUGUGAACUGGCCAGCUCAUUUGAGAUUGGAAUUUGUCACUGGUGACCAAGAUAUUUGGGCAUUAGUAGAGCAGAUGUUACACAGAGGUUUUACAACUGAGGAGAAGUGCUCAUAUGCUUCUUGCUUCCAGAGAUGCUUCUUUUUAACACCAAACCAAACCUUACCUGACAUAAUCUAACCUACAAGUCAGCAUACAAACUAAAACCCUACAACCUACAAACCUACAGCUGUGCCUCUCCUUGGUUGGAAACCCUUCCUAUGAGCAUCCUGCUCUCUUUGCCUAUUUAUCUACUUGGUAAGCAUAAGCGCCUUUAUUUGACAUCUGCUCUACUAGUGCCGUUAAUUUUAAUUUGUAACCUAACCAAACCUAACCUAACCCAAACCCUGCUCAUAACUGUGAUAAGUUGCAGUCCUAACUCCUAACAUCACUUUGAUUCUCCUCAGCCAAUUACAUCAAGAGGGAGACCACACUGACAGGGGUCCAAGAUCCAACUCAGGCCCUACUACUGUCCGCCAGCGGACGGAGGCCCGGCGACGGACGCUGGCUCAGUGGCCAACAGUGGUCCGCCCGCCGGCUGAUGGUGGCUCGCCGACCGACGCCGGCCCGUCGGCUGACCACGGCAUUCCGGCUGAUGGUGGCCCGCCAGCCGACGGAGGUCCGCCGGCCAUUCGUGGCACGCCCGCCGACGGUAGCUCGACACGUCCUGGCUAUGUCACCCCCAAGAUUACUUCGCCCCCCAGUCCCUAGGUCACCAGUUGCGGGCGCUCCAUCUGACGGUGUCGUCCGACGGCUCCACGGUGACCAGCGCCGCCACUGCGGAAACCAUCCGACCCCGAAAAUGCUGCUAGCCGUACACGAACAAAGGGCGCCGGGCACCCAGGACCAGCGCCCUGCUCCGAGGCGGUGUCCAAAGAAGGCUGCACAGUGCACUUGCUGUGCUAAGGCAUAGUGCCCGCUGACUGAUAGGAACAAAUGACGGUCAGUUAUCAGAUUUCAGUAUGGAACUCAAGAUGGUCGGAGCCGACCUGGCUCGGUGGAUGGUGUGCCAGGGUUGAUUAAGUGUCGAAAGGAGUGAGAUGCCCAGAUAUGUGAAGGAUACGUCGAUACGAGCCCCGGCUUCGACUCCCCGUCCCAAAACGAUGUUGGUUGUGAUUGGAGGAUCCCCCACCCCCACCCCACCCACCCCGGAAUUUGUGCUAUGUAAUAGAACGAUAAUAUGUCGUGGUCUCAUUCUGGCUCGAUAUGGUAAUAGGUACUUAAUUGGACAGAUGUUGAUGGUAUUGGUGGUGGAUGUUAAUGGCAGGUUUGGCGAGCGCGAAUUAAUAAUCGUGAGUGCACUAGCUGCAAUCAGUCGCGCGCUUAUUGCUGAGCACCUGUGAGCAAGAAAAUUAUAUGAAUGUGGUAGUUCGUCGUGAAAUCUGUGUACUUUUGGAUUAAGUUGUCAGAACAUAAGUGUAUUUUUGCCGUGUCCACUGCAGCUCUGAAACAGAAACAUGGAGAUCGGCUGUGUGCUGUAGCUGCGGGGGCAAGUAGUCCGCGCGUGCCAAAAAAUCAAAGGUGGUAUGUGAAUUUAAGUGAAUAUACCUCGCUAUAUUUUCAA
Molecule: long non-coding RNA, 3162 nt
Organism: Amphibalanus amphitrite
Lineage: Eukaryota; Metazoa; Arthropoda; Thecostraca; Balanomorpha; Balanidae
Exons: 3
Source: RefSeq, a predicted model, not a curated record